GGCUCAGGACGAACGCUGGCGGCGUGCCUAACACAUGCAAGUCGAGCGAGGAGAUUCCUUCGGGAUGAUCCUAGCGGCGGACGGGUGAGUAACACGUGGGCAACCUGCCUCAUAGAGAGGAAUAGCCUUCCGAAAGGGAGAUUAAUACCUCAUAACAUUGCAGUUUCGCAUGGAACAGCAAUUAAAGGAGUAAUCCGCUAUGAGAUGGGCCCGCGGCGCAUUAGCUAGUUGGUGAGGUAACGGCUCACCAAGGCGACGAUGCGUAGCCGACUUGAGAGGGUGAUCGGCCACAUUGGGACUGAGACACGGCCCAGACUCCUACGGGAGGCAGCAGUGGGGAAUAUUGCACAAUGGGGGAAACCCUGAUGCCAGCAACGCCGCGUGAGUGAUGACGGCCUUCGGGUUGUAAAGCUCUGUCUUCAGGGACGAUAAUGACGGUACCUGAGGAGGAAGCCACGGCUAACUACGUGCCAGCCGCGGC
RNAcentral lists this ribosomal RNA (481 nucleotides) under uncultured bacterium. RNAcentral describes it as "bacterial SSU rRNA". It matches the Rfam family "Bacterial small subunit ribosomal RNA", at positions 21 to 518 of the family's 1533-position model. The record is from RNAcentral.